CACGCGCCGUCGAGCACGGCAAAGUCGGCCGCCGGCAUGACGGCCAGCCGCGCGCGGUACUUUGUGUGCGCAUCCUUGAGGCCCAGUUUCUUGACUACUGGCGUCUUGGGCGUGGUGGUCGACACCUUCUUCUUCUUGGGCGCCGCCUUGGGCUUGGUCGCCGCCUUGGCCGACAAAGACGAAGAUGAGGAUGCGCCCGAUGACGACUUGGCCUUUUUCUUGGGCGCGCCGGCCGUUUUGGUCGACUCUGCGCUGGCCUUGCGCUUGGUCCCCGCCGCCACUCUCUUGGUUGUCGUCGCCUUUGCCGUUUUGCCAUCAGCGACGGCAGCCUUUUUCUUGGAGGCCGCUGCCUUGGUCUUUUUCUUGGAUGCCGCCGCUGUUGUUUCCGACGUCGAUUUGGCGGCCGCGGUCGAUUUGCGGGCCUUUUUCGCCGGCGGCUCUUGGUCGGCCGCGGGCUUGGACGCCGUGCGCUUGCGGGCCUUUUUCUUUUCGGCAAUGGCGCGCGCCUGGGCCGAGGCCACGCGCGCUUCGGCCUGCCCCGUUGCCGACGUCGCAUGGAUGAUCUCGUG
RNAcentral lists this long non-coding RNA (569 nucleotides) under Pandoravirus neocaledonia. RNAcentral describes it as "hypothetical ncRNA". The record is from RNAcentral.